This 297-nucleotide unclassified non-coding RNA is filed under the name uncultured Ascomycota. Its description in RNAcentral is "sequence contains ITS1". The stretch from base 1 to 105 matches the Rfam family "5.8S ribosomal RNA", at positions 50 to 154 of the family's 154-position model. The record is from RNAcentral. Lineage: Eukaryota; Fungi; Ascomycota.
GAAAUGCGAUAAAUAAUGUGAAUUGCAGACGUCCGUGAAUCAUUGAGUUUUUGAACGCACAUUGCGCCUAUUAGUACUCUAGUAGGCAUGCCUAUCCGAGCGUCGUGCUCUACUUCCAGCGGCAUCCUUGCGGUUGCCGCCGGGCGCUGGCGAUUGCUGGGAAGCCGAUCGCCGAAAUACAGUGGCUAGCGGGAAGGCAGCAUUCUACGUAGUAAAUCAAUCGUCUAAUCUGUCCUCCGGCUACGCCUGGCUCAAACAGUUGACCUCGGAUUAGGUAGGAAUACCCGCUGAACUUAA